RNAcentral lists this unclassified non-coding RNA (731 nucleotides) under Hevea brasiliensis (rubber tree). The record is from RNAcentral. Lineage: Eukaryota; Viridiplantae; Streptophyta; Magnoliopsida; Malpighiales; Euphorbiaceae.
CACCAUUCCAGGAUUUGAGUUAUUUUUUAUGUUCUGCUGAAGAGUUGUGCUGGGCUCAGAUUCAAUCUCAUGAUGAGAAGGCUCUCGUUCCACAUUUCGAGCGCCUCGUCCUCGGCCCCUUCCUCGACCACGGCCUCUCCCUCUGCCACUGCUACCUGCAUGGCUCAUCUCAUGCAUCUUGCUUCUCUUCAACUCUUCAUCACUGUCAUUGCAUUCAUCCACAAUGGGCUUCCUCUUUUGAAGGGUUCUAUGAUCUGCAGCAUUGUCAGCAUGACCAUGUCCAUAGUCAGGAACCCUGCUGACUAUCUCUCUCAAAAAAUCAAAAACAUUGUAGCUCUGUACGCAAUGUUUUAAAUGCAAUGCACUCAUAGUCUUUGCUCCUCGCUGAAGGGUGAUUUCAUAUGUACGGUCACAAAGGUCUUGCAAAAACAAUUCCAAUGCUUUAGAAACUAAGACAGGCACAGCCAGCGCUAUCUUCCCAACAUCCUCAUCUGCUUGCAUUAUCUUUUUUAUGCGAGCAGCUGGGAAACGGGUGUCGAGCUUCUUCCUCAUGGCUGUCAGAUUUGGAGCAUUUAAAUUAAAAAAAAAAUCCCAAAUAAAUAGUUACAACAGCAGAAGCAGAAAGCUAAAACAACCAAAAACAGAAAUCAAAAUUAUAUUUUUCAAAUCAAAAUCAUUUCUUCAUAAUUGAAUUUUGGAUAUCGCACGAAAAAUCUAUAUGCUAUCCGUCU